UGAACACCAAGCUGAAGAGUGAAAUUAGUGUUGGUUGUGCUGCUAGAAAAUAGCAUUAUGAGAAAUAAAAAUCUAAUGUUAGAAACUUCAAUAGGUUUUUUGUUAUUGUUGUUGUGUGUGUGCGUGUAUGUGUGUGUAUGUGUUUUUAAGUAGUAGGAUUGAACCCAGGGCCCAGCCCUUCAA
This 183-nucleotide small RNA is filed under the name Marmota monax (woodchuck). Lineage: Eukaryota; Metazoa; Chordata; Mammalia; Rodentia; Sciuridae. The record is from RNAcentral.